UACAGAGGGUGCAAGCGUUGUUCGGAAUUAUUGGGCGUAAAGGGCGCGUAGGCGGUGCGGUAAGUCUGCGGUGAAAUCUCCCGGCUCAACUGGGAGGCUGCCGUGGAAACUGGCGGGCUUGAGUGUGGCAGAGGGGGGUGGAAUUCCGCGUGUAGCAGUGAAAUGCGUAGAGAUGCGGAGGAACACCGAUGGCGAAGGCAGCCCCCUGGGCCAACACUGACGCUCAGGCACGAAAGCGUGGGGAGCAAACAGG
This 253-nucleotide ribosomal RNA is filed under the name uncultured bacterium. RNAcentral describes it as "partial 16S ribosomal RNA". It matches the Rfam family "Bacterial small subunit ribosomal RNA", at positions 524 to 776 of the family's 1533-position model. The record is from RNAcentral.